CUGAUUCUUCAUGUCUUAUAUUAAGGAUUUGUAGAGUAUACAAAUCCUUGAUUAUAACAAAGGCAUAUAAUACUCAGUGUACCACUUCUGAACUUUUUUGUAAUUAUUAUCUCUACUUAAUUCCCCAUUCUUGAUUCCAGACCGGGUUCCGGACUAACUCUCAUAUACGUAAAUGAUCGUAAAUGUACGAAAGCUUGACACGUCGAAUACGAAAACCCGGAAAUAUUUUCUCCGUUGCUGUUUUUUAUACUCUGACGCAAAAUCCAUGGACGCUCGUCUGCUGCUGAAUUCAUGUUUUACAGUUUAACAAGGAUUUGUAUAGUGUCACUGUACAAAUCCUUGAGUUUAAAGAAUGGAAAGAUAUAUUAUAGUCAGAUAGAUAAUACAAAGAACUCUGGUUUUUCAAAAACCGAUGGGUCAAAAAGUUAUUAGUAUGAACAGAUAAAUUGAAAUGGGUUGCUUGUCGAUUAACUGGAAGAAACCGGGGAACGAAAGAAAGUUGUGUUUCUCUUAACGGAUUACGUACCCAAUAUUUUGUACUUGGAAAGCGCAACGAAAGCUGACUCAAAAUCAUGCAUGAUGAUGCUGUUUGGGCCCCCUGGUUGUACAUAGGAAGUGGACUCCUCGAGAAGAUGAAAGGUCUGCUUUACAUCAUUUUCAAUGAAAGUACAAGUACUUUGAGAAGUAGGAGAAGCUAAGCAACAGAACAGAAUUCAUUUGGGUCAUUGAUGUCUAGAUUAUAUAGUGGAUUCAUAGAUUGUCAUAUUGAUUUAUGUGCAUAUGAGCACAGAGGAGCAGUAGUCAAUGAAUAAUUUUGUGAUGAGAGCUUGUAACCAAAUGAAAGGAAAGUACAGUAUUGACAAUGAUUGAUAUCACUGGUGAACAUGUAUGUCAUGUAGGUGUGAAUGUCCUGCAAAAAAGAACUGAUAUCAAAUUACCAUUCACAGUGAACAUGGUGAAGAAUAACCAAUACCAUGAAUACAAGACAUAGAAGACUACCUCACAAAUAUGGGAAUUUUACAAAAAAUACAACAUUUAAAUUUACAAAGAAGACAUUUAUUUUGACAUUCAUGGACUUUGAAAGUAAAGAAAUUAGAAUGUGAAUAAAAAUCCUUGGAAAUAAAAUUUUGAACUUUGAAGGAGAUUGAAGAUUAUGUUUGUUCUAAGAAAGUUUUAAGAAAACAGAUACAUUCAAAACUGUAAAAAGGAAACAA
Molecule: long non-coding RNA, 1214 nt
Organism: Mytilus californianus (California mussel)
Lineage: Eukaryota; Metazoa; Mollusca; Bivalvia; Mytilida; Mytilidae
Exons: 5
Source: RefSeq, a predicted model, not a curated record